This 330-nucleotide ribosomal RNA is filed under the name uncultured Spiroplasma sp. RNAcentral describes it as "bacterial SSU rRNA". It matches the Rfam family "Bacterial small subunit ribosomal RNA", at positions 101 to 426 of the family's 1533-position model. Lineage: Bacteria; Bacillati; Mycoplasmatota; Mollicutes; Entomoplasmatales; Spiroplasmataceae. The record is from RNAcentral.
AACGGGUGAGUAACACGUAUCUAAUCUACCAUUUANNGGGGAAUAACUGUUGGAAACGACAGCUAAUACCGCAUAAUAUUGCUGGAUAAUUUCCAGUAAUGAAAGGAGCUUUCAAGCUCCGCUGAUUGAUGAGGAUGCGGCGCAUUAGCUAGUUGGUAGGGUAAUGGCCUACCAAGGCAAUGAUGCGUAGCCGAUCUGAGAGGAUGAACGGCCACAUUGGGACUGAGACACGGCCCGAACUUCUACGGAAGGCAGCAGUAGGGAAUUUUUCACAAUGGGCGAAAGCCUGAUGGAGCAAUGCCGCGUGACUGAUGAAGGUCUUCGGAUUGU